CAGUCGAACGAAGCACUUUAACCUGAUUCUUCGGAUGAAGGUUUUUGUGACCGAUUGGCGGACGGGUGAGUAACGCGUGGGUAACCUGCCUCAUCCUGGGGGAUAACAGUUAGAAAUGACUGCUAAUACCGCAUAAGACCACGGAGCCGCAUGGCUCAGUGGGAAAAACUCCGGUGGUAUGAGAUGGACCCGCGUCUGAUUAGGUAGUUGGUGGGGUAACGGCCUACCAAGCCAACGAUCAGUAGCCGACCUGAGAGGGUGACCGGCCACAUUGGGACUGAGACACGGCCCAAACUCCUACGGGAGGCAGCAGUGGGGAAUAUUGCACAAUGGGGGAAACCCUGAUGCAGCGACGCCGCGUGAGCGAAGAAGUAUUUCGGUAUGUAAAGCUCUAUCAGCAGGGAAGAAAAUGACGGUACCUGACUAAGAAGCACCGGCUAAAUACGUGCCAGCAGCCGCGGUAAUACGUAUGGUGCAAGCGUUAUCCGGAUUUACUGGGUGUAAAGGGAGCGUAGACGGCUGUGUAAGUCUGAAGUGAAAGCCCGGGGCUCAACCCCGGGACUGCUUUGGAAACUAUGCAGCUAGAGUGUCGGAGAGGUAAGUGGAAUUCCCAGUGUAGCGGUGAAAUGCGUAGAUAUUGGGAGGAACACCAGUGGCGAAGGCGGCUUACUGGACGAUGACUGACGUUGAGGCUCGAAAGCGUGGGGAGCAAACAGGAUUAGAUACCCUGGUAGUCCACGCCGUANACGAUGACUACUAGGUGUCGGGGAGNAAAGCUCUUCGGU
This 785-nucleotide ribosomal RNA is filed under the name uncultured bacterium. RNAcentral's name for it is "bacterial SSU rRNA". It matches the Rfam family "Bacterial small subunit ribosomal RNA", at positions 59 to 844 of the family's 1533-position model. The record is from RNAcentral.